This 253-nucleotide ribosomal RNA is filed under the name uncultured bacterium. RNAcentral's name for it is "partial 16S ribosomal RNA". It matches the Rfam family "Bacterial small subunit ribosomal RNA", at positions 524 to 776 of the family's 1533-position model. The record is from RNAcentral.
UACGAAGGGGGCUAGCGUUGCUCGGAAUCACUGGGCGUAAGGGGUGCGUAGGCGGGUCUUUAAGUCAGGGGUGAAAUCCUGGAGCUCAACUCCAGAACUGCCUUUGAUACUGAAGAUCUUGAGUUCGGGAGAGGUGAGUGGAACUGCGAGUGUAGAGGUGAAAUUCGUAGAUAUUCGCAAGAACACCAGUGGCGAAGGCGGCUCACUGGCCCGAUACUGACGCUGAGGUGCGAAAGCGUGGGGAGCAAACAGG